This 399-nucleotide ribosomal RNA is filed under the name Triticum aestivum (bread wheat). RNAcentral describes it as "partial small subunit ribosomal RNA". Lineage: Eukaryota; Viridiplantae; Streptophyta; Magnoliopsida; Poales; Poaceae. The record is from RNAcentral.
AUGUGUCUCAGUGCUCAAAUGUCUUCUCUUCACACAACUUUUUCGAGUGCUUCCUUCCCUAUCAUCUUCUUUUCACUAUGGUUCCUUUUUCGUCGCUCCUCGGCGGGGAGAUGCUCCUCCUGGGUAGUUUCUUCUCUUAUGAAAUUCCUCCUUCAUCAUUCCUCCUCUACUAGUCUUCCACUCCUCUUCCCCUAUUUGUAUGGGAAAUUUUUGCCAUCAAAAACCUCAAGUUGGAGCGGUCUAAAGACCUUCAUGCCUCUAAGCUCAGGGGUGCCAGGGGAGCAGGGGGAAUGCGCCCCUGCCUCACCAUAUCUGGCGAUGGAGGGGCUCGGGUUAGACGAACACGUUGAGGUUGAGACAACAAGGUCAAUGGUCCAAAAUUUGGUUGUAAAGUGUUAA